UUUUCCCGCAAGGGAAAACUGAGUGGCGAACGGGUGAGUAACACGUGGGUGACCUACCUUCGAGUGGGGGAUAACGUCCCGAAAGGGACGCUAAUACCGCAUAACAUCCUGCCUUUGAACAGGCGGAGAUCAAAGCCGGGGAUCGUAAGACCUGGCGCUUGAUGAGGGGCCCGCGUCCGAUUAGCUAGUUGGUGAGGUAAUGGCUCACCAAGGCAACGAUCGGUAGCCGGCCUGAGAGGGCGGACGGCCACACUGGGACUGAGACACGGCCCGGACUCCUACGGGAGGCAGCAGUGGGGAAUUGUUCGCAAUGGGCGCAAGCCUGACGACGCAACGCCGCGUGGAGGAUGAAGGUCUUCGGA
This 362-nucleotide ribosomal RNA is filed under the name uncultured bacterium. RNAcentral describes it as "bacterial SSU rRNA". It matches the Rfam family "Bacterial small subunit ribosomal RNA", at positions 72 to 422 of the family's 1533-position model. The record is from RNAcentral.